UCUGGGGAGGCUGUUUCUUCUUUCUUUUUUUGGUUAUUUAUUAGUCUUUUGUGUUAAUUUGGGCUUUUCUUCACAGCGGACUCAGGAAAUCCCUGGAAAUGUGUUACAUAUUGAUGGAGGAGUGGACCGAAUAAUGCCAUAUCGUUCCGGGCGCGAAAGUGAAACAAAAUAAGAUCAAUGUUAAGCAGUCACAUCAUUAUAUUGAAUUAUAAAAGUGAGACAAACAUAACAGUGACACAACAGCGACACACAGUGAAGAGUAGCUAACACAGUAACACCGUUGUCGAGGCAAGAAGGCAGUAAGGUAAUGGCGGGCGGCGGUGGCGGGGUAGCAGCAGACGACGUGAGCAUGGCAGGCUUCCACGACAAGAAUUCCCGAGUGGUGGGCACAUGGAAGAUAAUUGAAUGUGUGUCCCUAUCAGGCUCAUCUGAAGCUACUGGCAUUGAGGGCACUGAGUUUGUUCUGUCUGAGGCCGGGGAUGUGACGUGGAGUGUGACGGACAGUUGUGACUCCCUGCCACUCUUCUCCUGCCAGAUGUAUGAGGUGUACACUUACCAGAACUUGCAAUGCUAUGGCAACCGCACCUUGCUUCGCUUUGCUGCCUACAAUGGACACAUCAUUGAGUUCAGGCUGGACCAACCAGUGAUGUCUCGGGACCUGAUGUUGCUCACGUAUGAUGGAUGGUUUAUGCUGCAGUGCGAGAAGCUGGGGGUUCCGGAUGUAUCCCCUGACCUUCCCUACUCUCUCCUGCCGGCUCUCAGUGAUGGCUACUUCUCAGACAUCACCAUCACUGCCAAGUCAGGAAGGAAGUUUGAGGUCCACAGCAUCAUUCUACAGUCCAGCGUACCUGACAUAGAGUGGAAGUCUCUGGAGGGAAUGGAAGACCCAGCCCUUGAAACAGUCCUCCACUACUUGUACACUCGCUGCUUGCCUCCCACCCUCACCCCAGAGACUGCCCAGCGCACCCUGGACGCCACUGCACACCUUGUCCCUGCCCUCACUGACCUUAAGGAAAAGUGUGAGGUCUUCAUCAGAAACACGGCUCUUAGAAACAGGCUGGUGUCACUGAUGGAGGAGGUGCAGGAGUGUGUGGAGGUGAUGGUGCAGAUCUUCAACCCAACAGAUCCAGCAGCCACCAGCCCCACACACCUCAUCUCAGUCCUCAAGGCAGCUCUAAGACAGAUGGCAAUAGGUGUAGUGAAAGUGGUGGAGCUGAGCCAGGAGUUUGAGCGGUGUGGGUGGCGGCUUACACAGAGUGAGCAGCAUGAGGUAAUGCGCUACACACGUUCCUGCCUGCCGCCACUGCUGGUGACGGUGGUGCGGCUCCUUGGCAAUGUGCGGGCCUCCCUGGUGGCUCUCAAUCACCACAAGCGGCAACAGUUGGCUCAGCAGCUGGUUCCUGAGAUCAGUGCAGUGCUGCAGACAGUGUGUGUGGAUGUGGGUUCCCUGCGGACAAGCUUGGAGCACAUCAUCCAGGCCUCCUCCACCUCCCUUGAGUCCUCUCACUCUCCCACGCACCUCCUCGCCAAGUCACUUAGAAAUGAUCUCCAUCUCCGAGAGCUGCAGAAAUUGAGAAUCUUGCAGGAGAACUUGACCUCCUUCCUGAACUCCCUGGUGCACAAGAGGGAACAGUUUGAGGAAAUGGGGGGCGGGGCACGGGUCCGAGGGGUGGCCAGGAUUAUCAACCACUUCACAGAGGAGCUGAUGGUGCUGACGCUGAGGCUGGAGGAGGUGGCAGUGGCUCUGGAGGACAUGCUGGAGUGGUCCGAGUUCAAGUUUGUGUUCAAGGGCGCCACUUCCAAAGUGGGGAGCAUUGUGGAGCGUCUGGUGGAGCAUCGAGGGGUGAUGGAGGCGCUGGUACUGGAGAUGGUGGAGCGUGUGGGUCACCCUGCCUUCACCACGUCCCUGCAGCACCUUGGACUCCUGGCCCCCUCACAGCAUCCCUCAGCUGGGGAGUCUCCUUCACCUGUGGAUCUGAAAGGCCAAGAAUUCCGAUCUUCUCCUGAGGACCCUAGUUCACCAGGAGACGCGGACACCUUUGCUGACUCUGCCUCCCGCCCCUCCUGCCCCUUGGAUCAGCUUAGCAGUGGUGGUGGUGGUGGUGGUGGUAGUAGCAGGCAGCAGCAGUCACUUCCACAGCCUCAGCAGCAUUCCUCGUCCACAAAUUCCUCGUCCUCCCAGUCUGAAGGGGACCCACUCUCAGAUGACCUCCCCAAUUCCUUCUCUAAGCAGCUCAGCCUGGUGCGGCGUGUGUGCGAGCCACCACCAUCACGCACCAGUCCCCUCGCCCUCAAUGUGGCUCGCCUGCUGACCUCCCCCAUGCUCAGCGACAUGACCUUUGUGGUGGUACCUCCUGCGGAUGAUGAGACCUCCCCUUCCUCCAGCCUUGAGGACCUGCACACUAUGGAGGGGCAGGAUGCCAGGCCAGCCAGAGGUGCCAGCAAGGACUCCUACAGCAGCGAGUGGUCAGAGCACUGCACACCUUCCCACCCCGGCCCCCCACAACCAUCCUGCACCACCACCUCCACCACCACCACCUCUGUCUCCACCUCUGCCAUGCCCAAGGUGUCUUCAACUGUCGUCCGCAAAGUGAAGAAGUCCUUGAGCCUGGACCACCGUCCAUCGGCGCGGGUGAGCCUGCCCUCCCACGCCUACAGUCUUGACUGUGAUGCCGUGAGCUGCGGCAGCGACGGCGGGCUGCCUAUCGCCUCGCCGCGGACCAGGGAGAGCAGCAGCGACCGGGCCAGCACUGACCUGGCUACUGCUGCAGUCUGUGAUGGUAGUGUUAAGUCAGUUCGGGAGGAGGAGGUUGAAUGGGGUGGACGAGGCAAGGUUGCAGCAGCUGCUGUGCUCCCCAUGAACUGUGAUAAUAGUGGUGGGAUGACAGACUCUUCCUCUGGGGUGACAAGCUCCCCGUGCAUGGGCCAGGCAGGGCAGGCCCUCAGUGACUACAAGGCCUCAGCAGGGCCCAAGGAGCUUCCUGUCAGUGUGGGGAGCAAGGGGCAGGAGGAGGAGGGCUGUGUGACCAGAGAGGCAGCCAGACAAUCAAAACACCUCGAGGAAACUCGGCCAAGACUCAGUGAUGGGGAAGCACCGACCUCCAGCGGCAAGAGUGACAGGAAAGGAAGACUCACCAAGUCACCAAACAUUGUCAUAGAAGAUGGCCUCACCCCCACCAAGCCCCCAGAGCCUUCUGUCUCCCCGGCAUGGAGAGGCCAGCGGGGCGAUGGCACGCCCUGGGAAGGGGUGGAGCUGCACGCACACCGGGUGGUGGUGGCGGCGCGCUGCGAGUGGUUCAGACGUGCCCUGCUCUCUGGCAUGAGGGAGGCCAUUGACAGGUGCAUUGUGGUACACGGCUGCAGCGUGCACACCUUCCAGCUGUUGCUCCAGUUCCUCUAUGCCGGUCAUGUGGACUGCUCCGCUCUGCCACCGGAUCAGCUGGUGGAUCUCCUGGUGCUAGCAGAUCAUUAUGGGGUGGAUGCACUCAAGCUGCUGGUGGAGUCUGGUCUGGAGCAGCAUGUGGAUGAUGAUUCUGUGGUGCCGCUGCUGACCGUGGCUCAUCAUUGUAACGCUGCUCAUCUCAAGGAAGUGGUGGACAGGAGCCAUAGGGGAGGAGGUGUUGGUUGGGGGUGAAGGUGUUGGGGGCGGGGAGGACAGCCCCCUCUCUGUCUCCUCCACCGAUCCCCUCAUUGAUGACCCCACCAGCCUCAUUCAUCCACUCCAAUGUGGCAUGUGCGAGGAUUCCACAGGUGAGGGCAGUGGUGGUGGUGGUGGUGGUAGCAGGCUGGAAGCAGUCGUUCAGCAGCUAAGGGAGGUGGUGGGGCAGCAGGUCCCCCGCACUACUCUUAUUCAGAUCACACUUG
Molecule: unclassified non-coding RNA, 3864 nt
Filed under: Portunus trituberculatus (swimming crab)
Lineage: Eukaryota; Metazoa; Arthropoda; Malacostraca; Decapoda; Portunidae
Description: uncharacterized LOC123501098, transcript variant X2
Source: RNAcentral